UACGGGGGGGGCAAGCGUUGUUCGGAUUUACUGGGCGUAAAGGGCGCGUAGGCGGUCAGCACAAGUCAGUUGUGAAAUCUCCGAGCUUAACUCGGAAAGGUCAACUGAUACUGUGCGACUAGAGUGCGGAAGGGGCAACUGGAAUUCUUGGUGUAGCGGUGAAAUGCGUAGAUAUCAAGAGGAACACCUGCGGCGAAGGCGGGUUGCUGGGCCGACACUGACGCUGAUGCGCGAAAGCCAGGGGAGCGAACGGG
This 254-nucleotide ribosomal RNA is filed under the name uncultured bacterium. RNAcentral describes it as "partial 16S ribosomal RNA". It matches the Rfam family "Bacterial small subunit ribosomal RNA", at positions 524 to 776 of the family's 1533-position model. The record is from RNAcentral.